This 336-nucleotide ribosomal RNA is filed under the name uncultured bacterium. RNAcentral describes it as "bacterial SSU rRNA". It matches the Rfam family "Bacterial small subunit ribosomal RNA", at positions 8 to 334 of the family's 1533-position model. The record is from RNAcentral.
AGAGUUUGAUUAUGGCUCAGGAUGAACGCUAGCUACAGGCUUAACACAUGCAAGUCGAGGGGCAUCAGUUUGGUUUGCUUGCAAACCAAAGCUGGCGACCGGCGCACGGGUGAGUAACACGUAUCCAACCUGCCUCAUACUCGGGGAUAGCCUUUCGAAAGAAAGAUUAAUAUCCGAUAGCAUAUAUUUCCCGCAUGGGUUUUAUAUUAAAGAAAUUCGGUAUGAGAUGGGGAUGCGUUCCAUUAGUUUGUUGGCGGGGUAACGGCCCACCAAGACUACGAUGGAUAGGGGUUCUGAGAGGAAGGUCCCCCACAUUGGAACUGAGACACGGUCCAA